Non-coding RNA from Doryrhamphus excisus (bluestripe pipefish), 1557 nucleotides. The record is from RefSeq and is a predicted model, not a curated record. NCBI's taxonomy places the organism in Eukaryota, Metazoa, Chordata, Actinopteri, Syngnathiformes, Syngnathidae.
GAGAGAGCGCGAGAGAGAGAGAGAGAGAGAGCGCGCGCGCGAGAGAGAGCGCGCGAGAGAGACAGGCGACGAGAAUCACUGCGUGAGAUGGAUAUCAGAAGGUUAUUCGCCCGCAGCAGGGACAAAGCAGCGAGGAAUGAGAGAAGACCUCUGCUCUUUCCGUCCUUGUCUGGAACCUUCCGGCUUCAGUGACAAACCAGCUGAUUCAUGAAGUACCUCAAGACCUCUGAUCUGAGACAUCGCAGCCUCACAGCUACGCAGGAAGUCUGUUCUGAGAACUGAUGGCUGUCCUCUCUGAGACUUCCAGACACGAUUCUCUUCUCUUCUUUGGCCUGAUUGUGGCUCUUCUGAGGGCUGCUACGCCUUGUGGUUGCACAGUUGCACUGAUUUUAUGCUAUUCUUUAGCUUUAGCAUUAGUCAGGUUCUUUUCUGGACGAUGUACAUCUGCCAGUACUACAUGCUCACUGCUCUUUAGAGACAUCUUACGUGCUUUUAUGUUGUUCUUCACCGCUCACUGGUGCUGUCUUCUGGAGUAGCAAGUUCUCAUACAUAUAUACAGUACACAUAGUAUGUGUAUGUAUAUGUAUAUACACUAUAUGUAUGUGUCACAUAUAUAACGUGCAUAUAUACAUAAAUGAAUACAUAUAUAUAUAUUUAAACAAAUAUAUAUUACCUUUAUUGAUUUAUUUUUACGCUUUGCAGCAAAGGUCAACAAUCAACAAUACAAUCAUGUUGGAGCAUGAAACUAUAAAAAUAGAACACUCUGUCCCCGUAUGAGCAAUUAUAUGUUUUUGUGCAGAGGAAUCGGGAUGGUGAGAAAGUCCUCAGCCAGAAUGACUUCUACCCGAUGAUCAUCAUCAUCCUGUAGGACUUGUUCAGCCUGAUGUUGGAGUUCAGAGACAUCUUCAUCGUCUUCAUGGCGCUCCAGUGAGCUGGGUUUAUACCUCUGGCUAAAAUGGUACAACGCCAAUCUUCUAGCACAGCAGGCCCGCGCAAACACUGCUGCCAUCUGAGGCGUGCUAUGUCCGUGCUCCACCGCCUUGUCCCUGUGCUCGUCCCCCAGUGUGGCCUCGUGCACCAAAAGGUCGGCACUCUGGCAGACCCUCACGGGUCCUUCACCCAGCACCGAGCUGCAGUCUCCCAGAAUGCACACUUUCCUCCCGGGGAUGCUUUCUUCUAGGACCUCGCUGGGUAAAAGCAAACGGCCACUCUCCAGGGUCACUGGGUGACCCGCUUUCAGACGCCCGUAGGAGGGACCUGGUCUCAGGCCUGAAGAGGACAAGACACCCUUUAAGUGUCACACACAUACGGAUGUAUGCCUAUAAAUGUAUAAAUACAUAUGCCUAUAUAUGCACAUAUGCAUAUAAACAUUUGCACAUUUACAUAUACAUAUAUAUUUAUAUACACGCACAUUUACAUAUGCAUAUAUGUAAUAUACACAUAUAUAUACACACAUAUAUAUAUAUAUAUAUACACAUGCAUAUAUACAUAUGCACAUAUAUACACACAUGCAUAUAUAUGCACAUAUAUACACACAUGCACAUAUAUGCACAUAUA